UACAUGGGGUGCAAACGUUGCUCGGAAUUAUUGGGCGUAAAGCGCACGUAGGCGGUCCGUUAAGUCGGAUGUGAAAGCCCCCGGCUCAACCGGGGAAGUGCAUCCGAAACUGGCAGGCUAGAGUACGAAAGAGGGUCGCGGAAUUCCCGGUGUAGAGGUGAAAUUCGUAGAUAUCGGGAGGAACACCGGUGGCGAAGGCGGAUCUCUGGGCCUUACCUGACGCUGAGGAGCGAAAGCAUGGGGAGCAAACAGG
This 253-nucleotide ribosomal RNA is filed under the name uncultured bacterium. Its description in RNAcentral is "partial 16S ribosomal RNA". It matches the Rfam family "Bacterial small subunit ribosomal RNA", at positions 524 to 776 of the family's 1533-position model. The record is from RNAcentral.